This 253-nucleotide ribosomal RNA is filed under the name uncultured bacterium. RNAcentral describes it as "partial 16S ribosomal RNA". It matches the Rfam family "Bacterial small subunit ribosomal RNA", at positions 524 to 776 of the family's 1533-position model. The record is from RNAcentral.
UACGUAGGGUGCGAGCGUUAAUCGGAAUUACUGGGCGUAAAGCGUGCGCAGGCGGUUUUGUAAGCCAGAUGUGAAAUCCCCGGGCUUAACCUGGGAAUGGCAUUUGGGACUGCAAGGCUCGAGUGCGGCAGAGGAGACUGGAAUUCCUGGUGUAGCAGUGAAAUGCGUAGAUAUCAGGAGGAAUACCGAUGGCGAAGGCGGCCUACUGGGCCAGUACUGACGCUGAGCCGCGAAAGCCAGGGGAGCGAACGGG